CCGCAAUCGCCCUUCGGGGUGCAGCAGGCGCGAAAACUUUACAAUGCCGGCAACGGCGAUAAGGGAACCUCGAGUGCCAGGUUACAAAUCUGGCUGUCGUGAUGCCUAAAAAGCAUUGCAUAGCAAGGGCCGGGCAAGACCGGUGCCAGCCGCCGCGGUAACACCGGCGGCUCGAGUGGUAACCGUUAUUAUUGGGUCUAAAGGGUCUGUAGCCGGCCGGAUAAGUCUCUUGGGAAAUCUGGCAGCUUAACUGUCAGGCUUUCAGGAGAUACUGUCUGGCUCGAGGCCGGGAGAGGUGAGAGGUACUUCAGGGGUAGGGGUGAAAUCUUGUAAUCCUUGAAGGACCACCAGUGGCGAAGGCGUCUCACCAGAACGGACCUGACGGCAAGGGACGAAAGCUAGGGGCACGAACCGGAUUAGAUACCCGGGUAGUCCUAGCCGUAAACGAUACUCGCUAGGUGUCGGCCACGGUGCGACCGUGGUCGGUGCCGUAGGGAAGCCGUGAAGCGAGCCACCUGGGAAGUACGGCCGCAAGGCUGAAACUUAAAGGAAUUGGCGGGGGAGCAC
This 567-nucleotide ribosomal RNA is filed under the name uncultured archaeon. RNAcentral describes it as "bacterial SSU rRNA". It matches the Rfam family "Archaeal small subunit ribosomal RNA", at positions 312 to 879 of the family's 1478-position model. The record is from RNAcentral.